GAUGAACGCUGGCGGCGUGCUUAACACAUGCAAGUCGAACGGAAAGGCCACAGCUUGCUGUGGUACUCGAGUGGCGAACGGGUGAGUAACACGUGGGUGAUCUGCCCUGUACUUCGGGAUAAGCUUGGGAAACUGGGUCUAAUACCGGAUAGGAAUCACAUGUGGGUGUGUGGUUGGAAAGCUUUUGCGGUAUGGGAUGAGCUCGCGGCCUAUCAGCUUGUUGGUGGGGUAAUGGCCUACCAAGGCGUCGACGGGUAGCCGGCCUGAGAGGGUGUACGGCCACAUUGGGACUGAGAUACGGCCCAGACUCCUACGGGAGGCAGCAGUGGGGAAUAUUGCACAAUGGGCGCAAGCCUGAUGCAGCGACGCCGCGUGGGGGAUGACGGCCUUCGGGUUGUAAACUCCUUUCGUCAGGGACGAAGCGAAAGUGACGGUACCUGGAUAAGGAGCACCGGCUAACUACGUG
This 466-nucleotide ribosomal RNA is filed under the name uncultured bacterium. RNAcentral describes it as "partial 16S ribosomal RNA". It matches the Rfam family "Bacterial small subunit ribosomal RNA", at positions 28 to 507 of the family's 1533-position model. The record is from RNAcentral.